Molecule: small RNA, 326 nt
Filed under: Histoplasma capsulatum
Lineage: Eukaryota; Fungi; Ascomycota; Eurotiomycetes; Onygenales; Ajellomycetaceae
Also listed under: 1 other name
Description: hypothetical RNA
Source: RNAcentral
GCCUAGGGAUGCGAAUCAUGCUGUGGUGCCUCCGCCGCAAAUGAAUGUCUUGAGAGGAAUGACCAUCAGAGCAAACGGCAUUGGUUUAUUCUUGCCUACAAGGACAGGAUUCCAGCUCAUCCUCUCUCAUCCUCCCUCCCUCUCUCGCUCUUUUUCUUUUUGUUUUUCUUUCUCGAUAAGCCCUUACUAGGCAGGGCGUUGCUCCUUACGUUACUUAACCUUGGGGAUCCUUCGCUUCUAUUUUGGAUAGCGUUGGCACAUGCGGCCCGGGCCAUUCCACAGCAGCGUUGUAUAUACAUGGGAGCCAGGGCUUCAGAUUCCAUGGG